CGGCGCGGAGUUGAGGCAGUGAAGGAAUUCAGCCCGCCUGCUGGCCCAGCGGCCCUGCCGCCGCUCUCCCUCCGCUCGCCCUCCGAGCCGCAGGGGCCGCCAGCGCUGCGCCCCGGCCCGGGACAGAGCGGCCGCGCUCGCACCGAGGAGACUCCAGAAGCCAGGCUGCUUUCGGGAACAUCUCUGUGGAUUCCCAGGUCCUGUGGUCAGAGCUGAAGGCCCCG
Long non-coding RNA from Rattus rattus (black rat), 224 nucleotides. RefSeq lists it as uncharacterized. The record is from RefSeq and is a predicted model, not a curated record. The transcript is spliced from 3 exons. NCBI's taxonomy places the organism in Eukaryota, Metazoa, Chordata, Mammalia, Rodentia, Muridae.